RNAcentral lists this ribosomal RNA (429 nucleotides) under Actinomycetes bacterium. RNAcentral describes it as "Actinobacteria bacterium partial 16S ribosomal RNA". It matches the Rfam family "Bacterial small subunit ribosomal RNA", at positions 355 to 776 of the family's 1533-position model. Lineage: Bacteria; Bacillati; Actinomycetota; Actinomycetes. The record is from RNAcentral.
UAGGGAAUCUUCCGCAAUGGGCGAAAGCCUGACGGAGCAACGCCGCGUGAGUGAUGAAGGUCUUCGGAUCGUAAAACUCUGUUAUUAGGGAAGAACAAAUGUGUAAGUAACUAUGCACGUCUUGACGGUACCUAAUCAGAAAGCCACGGCUAACUACGUGCCAGCAGCCGCGGUAAUACGUAGGUGGCAAGCGUUAUCCGGAAUUAUUGGGCGUAAAGCGCGCGUAGGCGGUUUUUUAAGUCUGAUGUGAAAGCCCACGGCUCAACCGUGGAGGGUCAUUGGAAACUGGAAAACUUGAGUGCAGAAGAUGAAAGUGGAAUUCCAUGUGUAGCGGUGAAAUGCGCAGAGAUAUGGAGGAACACCAGUGGCGAAGGCGACUUUCUGGUCUGUAACUGACGCUGAUGUGCGAAAGCGUGGGGAUCAAACAGG